CCUACGGGGCGCAGCAGUGGGGGAUAUUGCACAAUGGGGGAAACCCUGAUGCAGCGACGCCGCGUGGGUGAAGAAGCGCCUCGGCUCGUAAAGCCCUGUCAGCAGGGAAGAAAAUGACGGUACCUGAAGAAGAAGCCCCGGCUAACUACGUGCCAGCAGCCGCGGUAAUACGUAGGGGGCAAGCGUUAUCCGGAUUUACUGGGUGUAAAGGAGGCGCAGACGGCGAUGCAAGCCAGGAGUGCAAGCCCGGGGCCCAACCCCGGGACUGCUCUUGGAACUGCGUGGCUAGAGUGCAGGCGGGGCAG
This 305-nucleotide ribosomal RNA is filed under the name uncultured bacterium. RNAcentral's name for it is "bacterial SSU rRNA". It matches the Rfam family "Bacterial small subunit ribosomal RNA", at positions 338 to 660 of the family's 1533-position model. The record is from RNAcentral.